Long non-coding RNA from Acanthopagrus latus (yellowfin seabream), 1150 nucleotides. RefSeq lists it as uncharacterized. The transcript has 3 exons. NCBI's taxonomy places the organism in Eukaryota, Metazoa, Chordata, Actinopteri, Spariformes, Sparidae. The record is from RefSeq and is a predicted model, not a curated record.
UGAUUAAAAUUAGCCAGAAUCAAACAGUUACAUGCGGUCAGUUUACGAAACGGUAAAACGGACGGUUCCCUUGGAAAGAAACUCAAGCAAACUGUAGUUAUAGUCUCGCUCGCCUCAUAAAAAAAGCAAAACAAACAAACGAAAAAACAAUUAAAGCAAGUUGACAUAAUUUUAAUGGAACAGCUAGCUUGUUUUAGUGUUGGCAAUGUUGUCAGUUAGCGUGUUUUUUGUGUAGCUAGCAGAGAUGUGGGCGGUAUAAGGUGGUUACAAGGAGCUCUGCCAAUAAACCAUGGCAGCAACAACUGGAGAGGGACCUUUAUGACAGAGAUAUGGACUUGAACGCGAAAAGAAAAGAAAAUGGCCUCAAAAUCAGAUAAGGCAGCCAAUUCCAUCUCCUCCCUCUGCUGCUCCUCCAGCAUUUCCAUCUUCAGCUGCUCCAGGAACUCACUAUGCUCAUCAUCCAGCCAGGCCUCCUCCAGCUAAGGGUGAAUGAAGGAGAGAAGCAUAUGGAGAGAGAGAAAAAAUAAAGGAACUAACACUUAAAGAUGCUGCCAGGAGCCACAGACCACAGUGAUUUAUAUUCCACUCUGCUCUCAAAGCGAACACCUUGCAGGGUCCGAGUCAACUUCAAGUGAAUCGGAGAGAAAGUUGAGCAGAAGGGAGAGCAGUAUUUUCUAUGCUUCCAACAAGUGUGAGAAAAUGCUUACAUGUAUCUCACAGCUUACUUGUUUGUAUGUCAGCUUUACCGAAAGGACUGUGCGAACAACUCCGACAAGACCUGAGUGCAUUUUUGGCUUUUUUUUUUGUCUUGGCAGUCAUAUCACGUUUGUAGCUGAGAGUGUAAUCACAUGGUUAGAACACUGCCAAGCUGUCAAAUUAUGUCAUUUCUGUGUAAUAAAAGAGUUCAAUUUCAUAAUAAGUAUACCCAAAAGAGAAACCUGCCUUGCUCACAUGAAUACUAAAAAAAAAUCAUAAAUUGGAAGAUGAAUAUUAAAUGUCACAAUUGAUUUAGUCUUCUAGCACUUUCAGUUGUUUAGGCAUUUCACUGCAGCACACUAAUCCAGCCAUGAUGAUACUCUGUUUCUAUAACAGUGUAUAAUAUGUAAAUGCAAGACUUCAAAGAACUGAAAUAAAAGGAAUCUGUACAAUA